This 779-nucleotide long non-coding RNA is filed under the name Nicotiana tabacum (common tobacco). RNAcentral describes it as "long non-coding RNA (NTAB_LNC012226)". Lineage: Eukaryota; Viridiplantae; Streptophyta; Magnoliopsida; Solanales; Solanaceae. The record is from RNAcentral.
AAACCGUAAAGGUUAAAAAAAAAACCUGAAAUAAUACCCACAUUAUGGACUAUUCAUCCCCACUCACUCCUUCAUAAAUGAUUCUCCUCCUAUUUUUUUACUUACGAACUUUGUUCAAUGCGUGGGCUUAAAAUUUUUGCAAUUUCACAUCUUCAAUUCAAGGUAUCCAUAGUGAUUCUAUAUUCGUGCACUAGGAAGUUCAAUUUUGAAGUAAAAUUUUGAAUUGCUAAAAGUUCGUCGGCGACAAUAUUGUUAAACCAUGGUUAUGGAUUCAAAAUAAUCGGUUCAUAAUUUCAUCCAAAAAAUGUGCUCCUUUUUUAUUCGAAAAAUUGUAGGUUCUGCAUUUUAAUUUUUAUUAAUUUACUUCUAAGUAGGUUUUGUUUGUUUUGUAUUUUUGCAGCAUUUUUCACAAGGAGGAUCUGUGAGAGAAUUCUUCUAAUGUGAUCGACGAAGGGAAUAUAUAUUCAGUAGUAAGGUAAGUUUUAUUUUGCAUAUUUUCCCUUUAUUUAUCCAAUUUGGGUAUUAUUCUUCUUAUUCUAUUGAGUUUAAUAGUAGCAACUUUUUUGGAUCUUCUUCUUUUUCUUCCUUUGGGCUAAUUCUUUCAAGACCUUUGGCGAAAAUCCUCUACACCACUAUUUUUACCAUUGCGCUAACUGCUAAGAUCACUACUUCUACUUGCGGAACAAAUUGAAUAAAAGUUCAAUAUUAAAAUUUCCAUCCAAUCGGACCUUCUUUUGGAAGAGUCUAUUUCAAUUCAACGGUGCAAGCUUAUGUCAUUU